Zea mays is the source of this 7809-nucleotide long non-coding RNA. RefSeq lists it as uncharacterized. The record is from RefSeq and is a predicted model, not a curated record. Lineage: Eukaryota; Viridiplantae; Streptophyta; Magnoliopsida; Poales; Poaceae. The transcript is spliced from 3 exons.
ACCGCUAAUCCCUUUUUAUCUCCCCUUUGCUCCCUGGUCGGAUCCUUGCUUCCCUUGCAAUUCAGCAGCGAGAGCAGGAGCAUUUCUCCCCCAGCGCGCAGGAGCUCCCUGGCUGCCCCUCACCUCCAGCCACCACCGCUCCUCCCAUGGCGCGCAAGCCCCAAGCUCCCCACGCGCGUUCCUUUCUUCCAGGCGCGUGAGCUCCCUCCGGCGUCGGCCAACAGGCAGGAUUGAGCACCGAGCUCAUCCAUGGCGCCUCCCAUGGCGCGGGCCCUCCUCUGGUCCAGUGCGCGCGAGGAGUCCCCCAUGGCCGACCUCCCUUCUUCCCUCUCGGCCUCCUCUGCCCUGGGUCUGGCACCCCUCCCCACAGUAGCAAAUCGCCGGUGCCCUCCCGCAGCAGCGCGCCACGACCCUUUCUACUCGUGCGCAGGAUUGCUGGCAGGGUCCUGCCAUGGCCAGACCUGCCUCCUCUAGCUCGGCGCCCUCCCUGCUACCUUCCAGGGCGCGCCAAGGCCCCUCCUCCCAUGGGCGCCACCAGCAGGAGCUCCUACUCCCGUGGUGCCUCUGCUCUCCCAUCCAGGCACCCCUUCCCCUAGCGGAUCCAUGGUUCUAGGCGGAUCUCCUCCUCAGCCGACGCUCCAGCCUGGCGUCUUCCCCCUUCUCUGGCCAUUUUGCACAGCAGCAUCCAGCAUCAUCGCUCCCCUUCAGCCAUGGUCGCCGAGCCCCAGCGCACCCCCUUGGCCGUCGGCCUUUGCGCCUCCCUCCACUCGGCACCCCUCGACGCAGCACACCAAUCAGAGACACGACGCCCUUCUCUACGUUCUGAGCCCAGCCAUGGAGGUUGUCGGUCUGCAGCUCCCCUCUGCUCGGACGCCGAGCUCCGUACGCCGGGUCCCCUCUCCAGCGGCCCCCAUCCCCCAGCAGCCGCCAUGGCCGAGCUCAGUGGCGCGGCGCCCCUGCUAUCUCCUCCCCAACGCCGAUGCCUUUCCUACUCAUCAAUGGAGAUCUUGUCGGCGGCUGACUGCCUCGCUUCGCGGUGCCCCUCCUCACCAUCGGGUGCUCGCCGAGCCGACCCCGCUAGCCACCCUCUCCAGCUCGCCAUUCCCCCUGUAGCAGCGCGAUGAUUUCCUCUGCUGCCAGAGGCCUCGCCCAAGUCCGGCCUUGGUCGCUCCCAUCGCCGACCGAGCUCCUCUUCUGUACCAGGCCAUCCGCCUUGUCUCCAUUGUCAUGUGCAGCGAGCUCUAUUUUUUCCCAGUGCUCUCGCCUGCUCGACGUAAUGUCGCAGCGCGAAGCGGCCAUGGAUCCUCCCUGUGUCGCGCCCUCGGCGUGCUUGACGUAAUGCCGCAGCAAACUGCAGCAGCGACGCCCUUCUCUGCGACGCGCUCGCCAGGUCGGUCCACUCGCCGUCGAUCUGCGCAGCCCCUGCACGUCGUCGUCGAAACCCGCGCCCUCCGUCGAUGUCACGCCUCGUGCUAUGCCUAUGCGACGCAAUGCUAGCCGGUGGACAGCACAUGCGACUCACCGAUCCGGCCAGGACCGAGAGAUGAUAAUCGUGCAAGUGAUAUGGUGCCAACCACAAGGUGCAGUCGGUGGACGACCCAAGGAUGGACUUAACCAGUGGAUGCUCGCCAAGCAAGUACCCCACCCCCAGCAAACACUAUCUAAGUGUUAAAUUGAAGGCAAGCCCCGGUUUUAUGCAUAACCGUUUAUAUAUGCUAUUUUACUACACUUACUGUUUGUAGGCUUGUACCGUGCACUUAAGUGUAGGAGUUGGUUGAAACCCUAGUUGCAUGAACUCAGGAUUCCUUUUGUGAUGGAUACUAGUAUGCUAGGUCGAGUAGCUGCUAUGCUAAAUCAGGAUCUCGGUAGAAGUCGAGUGAUUUUUCUAGCACUCGCGCGAGGUCAGGAAUUGGUUGUAUCCAUUUUUGAUAACAGAAUGAUGAUGGUCUGUGGACACGGAUCCAUGGGGAUGCAUUGUCUAUGAGACAAAAUUGGAAUAAGGAUUAACGUGUGGAUACCAGUGUCAAGCGUUUGAAUGUACUAAACACAUGUCGGGAAAAAUGGUAACCGGUAAACCUAGUACCUGAGUGAAGCCGGGCGCGGACUUUAUCCCUCACGCGACCUGAGACGGGGUUUCCCAUUCUAGAUAUGGUGGGUACAAGUGCGGCCACUGCACGACGGCAGUCGGGGUCAGUGGAGCAUUGUAUCCCAAGGCGGUGAGGCCUGAACGCGAAUGGGGAAUCGAUGGGGAUGGUUGACAUGUGUGGGGACGGAGUGCCCUGACAUGUCGUGUGUUUAGGUUUACCUUGCAAGGUUAAAACUCGAUUCGAAUCGUCUGCUUCUCGCAGCUAAUGAGACUGCUUGAUCCAUUGUACUGCAUUGAGUAAUAAGUGGAAAUGAGAUACUGGCAAAAGGUGUUGAUUGAUAUAAUGUUUGAUACCAUGUAUGAAUAGAUAGGUUCUCAUCUAGUCUAAAUUAUUAUUCUAGAACUUGAAAAGCUAAAACCUGUUUUUAGACUCAGCUAGUGCUUUUGGCAAACCAAACCCCUCAGCCAAACAGCUUCAUGGUCUAGAGGUAGAGGAGUAGACUCCUCACACCAGGUAAGUCUAGCUGAGUAUUAGUAUACUCAGCCUUGCUUGUGGCAUAAUUUUUGCAGGUACCUCCUUGAUUUGGUUGAUGGUGUGACUUGGCCUCCAUCCCUGCCACCGGGAUAGACGGUCAAGUGGGUUACUGCUUCCGCAGGAGAGGACCAGGAGGAGUAGUGUGGCCAGGCUUCGCCAUGUUAUUCGGUUCUUCUCCGUUAGUUAUUUCCGCUGCAUUAAAAAUUCAUGGUUAUUAUUUCUGAAACUCUGAUAAUGUAAUUACUACUGAUACUUAUUAAAUUUGUGGUAUUAUGCUUUAUUGUAUUUCUCUGUGCCUCACCUUCGAGUGAGCUAGUGGUAUUCGAUCCUGGAUAAGUGGUUUUAUCGGACUAGAUCCGAGGGACUGCCGGGUUAUUCCGAUUUAAGUAUGUUGCUGCCUUUAACGGUGCGACUUAGGCACUUAAGCUGGAAUAAUAUGGGUGGUUCCGCCACAGCGCGGUGGGGGUCCCGGCCUCCAGUCUAGCGGAUCGCCAUGCCGCUCUCGUCGAGGGUCGGUAGCGUGGCCAAGAUCGCCGUCCUCAGCCCUGGGUCGUCGCAGAGCGCAGGGAUGUUCUGGGGGAGGAUCAGGGACUCAGGGACGAAGGUUUCCCCGGUAAUCCCUCCCACCAGGACCGCCAGCUCGUCCCAGGAUAGGUCGGUGCCCGGCCCGCGCUGGACCCUGCCGAUGUCGUUCGCACCGGUGAACCAGCAACACAGGCGCGCCCUCCUCUGCAGUGGCGCGAUCCGGCGCUUCAAGAAGUCGCCGACCAAUGCAUCGACGUCAGGCUGCCCGUAGCCAAGCCCUUGAUCCUUUCCAGUACGGGCAGGAACUCCAGCGCCAGGGACGGCUUGGUCCUCCACAGCUUGCGGUCGAGCGCCGGCCCAUCGCUCGGCAGGACGAGGCAGUCGUUGGCCUCGGUGCUAGCAAUCACCCAGUCGCCGUGCCAGUUUUCCCAUCUCACGCCGCCGAGGGUGGGGAUGUAGACAACGGCUGGAUCUCGCCUCGUCUGGAAGUAGUAGACACCAAUGUGGUCCCUAGUCUUCCCGGACUUGACCAGCACGAAGAAGUGGCGGAAGAGAGAAGUGCAGGGAGCCACACCCACGAACAUCUCGCAGAGGUGGACAAAGAUGGCCGCUUGGAGGACGGAGUGGGGCGUGAGGUGCUGAAGCUCGAACUCCUCCAGCAGCAGCAAGAAGAAGGGCGAGAUCGGUAGCGCCAACCCGCAGGAGAUGUAGGAGGUAAAUAGCACAAACUCCUCGGCGACGAGAUCGUCGAGGGGGACGGCGUCGGCGCGGAUUCUUCUGGCGAGCCCUAGCGCACUCCACCCAAGCAGGCCGCGCACCAGAUUGAGCGCCUCCUUAGACUGAAAGCGGUCGGGAUGGCCGAGCGAAGUCAUGGCUUGUGCGGCGGCGCGGGUGUAGAGCAUAAGAGCAUGAAGGCAAAGGGGUGCAGAGGAGCACGAAGGAAAAGAGGCGCAGUCGAUUGGAAGAGAAUGCAAAAGGGUAACUGCUGCACGCGGGGUGAAUCCUUUUUCAAGGAAACCUGAGUCCUCGUUCAGGGAAACCCUUCCGUGUGCCCCUCAAUCGCCGCAGAAGAUCACGUGCGACGGACACCUAGAUCCAAGCAGCCCAGUUUAUGACUCGGGGGCCUGGGUCCACAAGUCAUACACUUUGCGAGUCGGAUUUCGGGUGCGGGAAAAGCGGACCGCCACACACGCCGGUAGUGUGCCUCCUCGGGGUCGCUGAAGAAGACAGAAGGUAAUUUUUUAAACCAUUGCAGCGGUAACUGAGAGCACCUAGAGGGGGGGGGGGGUGAAUAGGUGAUCCUGUAAAAUUCAACACUAAAUGCCAACAACCUUGAUUAUAAAGAUAUUAGUGCGGGUUAAUCAAGUCAAUGAGACGAGCUCUUGUGAACACGGACAAUCAAAGAGAGAGCAAUCACAAGAGACACGCGAUUUUAUCCCGUGGUUCGGCCAAGUAACACUUGCCUACUUCCACGUUGUGGCAUCCCAAUGGACGAAGGUUGCACUCAACCCCUUUCAUGUGAUCCAAUGAUCAACUUGAAUACCAUGACUUUUCUUCCUUAUAUCUUUUACCCGUUUGCGAGGAAUCUCCACAAGUUGGAGCCUCUCGCCCUUACAAGAUUGAUCACAAAGAACACACAAGAGUAAGGUUGGGAAGAGCAACGCACACAAGACUAAAAAACAAAGCACACCAACGCACACAAGUGAAGACUUGAGCUCAAAUGACACACAUGGAGUUCUUGACUCGAAUGGAGCUCAAAUCUCUAACACAAGAAAGCAAAUGCGCGGGAGCAGAGUCUGGAUGCCUUAGAAUGCUUAAUGAAUGCUUGGGGUAGCUCCUCCAUGCACCUAGGGGUCCCUUUUAUAGCCCCAAGGCAGCUAGGAGCCGUUGGAGGCCAACAAGGAAGGCCAAUCUUGCCUUCUGUCGUGUGGCGCACCGGACAGUCACUAUAGAUGGUCCGGUGCGGAUCUCCUUCCUUUUCUGGCGCAUUUAACCGUUGCAGCUCCGGGCCAGUUGGCGCACCGGACACUGUCCGGUGCACACCGGAUAGUCCGGUGCCCCCUGCCGACCGUUGGCGCGGGCCACACGUCGCCCGCAGAUUGCACGGCCGACCAUUGCGCUGGCGACCAUUGGCUCACCGGACCGUCCCGUGAAUUAUAGCCGUACGCCGCCGAUUUUUCCCGAGAGUGGCCUUUUCACCGGAGUCCAGCCUGGCGCACCGGACACUGUCCGGUGCGCCACCGGACAGUCCGGUGUGCCAGACUCAGCUGGACUUCGGCUGCACACAGCCAAGUCACUUGCAAUUCUUUUCUUUUCUUUUCUUCUCUAUUUCUAGCACUUAAACAAAUACAUUAGUAUACAAAAACAAAUGUACUAAGUCUAGAAACAUAACUCAUGUCUUGAUUUGCACUUUUUCGAUCUUUGGCACAUUUAGAACUUAGAGAAUAUGUGUUGGGCACUUAAUCACCAAAACAUUAUAGAAAUGGCCCAAAGGCACAUUUCCCUUUCAAUCUUCCCCUUUUUGGUGAUUUAUGCCAACACAACCAAAAGAAACCAAAAGAAGUGCAAUAUCAAUGCAAUUGAAUACCAAAUUGUUUUUGACUAUAAUUUGGCAUAUUUGGAUCGCUCUUUGCCACCACUUGGUUUGUUUUUGCAAAAUAAAUUCAUUUUCCUAUCUCUAAGUCAAACUCACUUGUUUGGGCAUAAAGAGAGAUAAUCCAAGAGUGAAAUUGAUCAAGUGCCAAAAACUCCCUUUUUCCCAUAAUCAUAAAUUCUCCCCCACAAGAGACUAAAUUUUGCAAUAAGAGCAUUUUGGACAAAUCAAAAGUUCUAACUCUAUUGUUUUCAAAAUUCACAAGUGGUAGCUGAUCCAUUUGCUUUGGCCUUAAUUUCUCCCCCUUUGGCAUUAAUACCAAAACGGGAUCAUCAUUGGCCCUUUAACCCCAUUGCCUUACCAAAAAUGUCAAUUAAGAGCAAAAAGGCAAUAAGAGCAUAAGAAUGAACUUCGAAUUAAGUACACUAAUACCGGAGUGCAGUGGAAGUCUUUGCAUGGUCCAAGUUCACCUUUCCCUUUCAAUCCACUUUUGAGACUAUAUCAAGUAUACUCAACCAAAUAGAUUAGUCUCAAGGGGUCAAGUUGUAGCACAUCUCCCCCUAAAUAUGUGCAUCAUUCACACGUGGACUUGUGAGGUCCGGGGAUCCCUUGCACAACUUGAGCACCAUAAGUAAGCAACAAAUUUCAUAAAUGCAUAAAGUAACAUGAUCAAACGCAUAAAACACAUGUAUGUUAUAAAUCAAUCCAAGUUACGCGAAUCUAAGACAUUUAGCUCACUACGCAGCCUGCAAAAGGUUUUCUCAUCUAAUGGCUUGGUAAAGUUAUCGGCUAGCUGGUUCUCGGUGCUAACAUGAUACACUUCGAUAUCUCCCUUUUGCUGGUGGUCCCUCAUAAAGUGAUGCCAGAUGUCUAUGUGCUUAGUGCGGCUGUGUUCAACAGGAUUAUCCGCCAUGCGGAUUGCACUCUCAUUGUCACAUAGGAGUGGGACUUUGCUCAGAUUGUAGCCAAAGUCUCGGAGGGUUUGCCUCAUCCAAAGUAGUUGCGUGCAACACUGUCCUGCGGCAACAUACUCGGCCUCAGUUGUGGAUAGGGCAACAAAGGUUUGUUUCUUUGAACUCCAAGACACCAGGGACCUUCCUAGGAAUUGGCACGUCCCUGAUGUACUCUUCCUAUCAACCUUGCAUCCAGCAUAAUCGGAAUCUGAAUAUCCAAUCAAGUCAAAGGUAGACCCCUUUGGAUACCAGAUCCCGAAGCAAGGCAUAGCAACUAAAUACCUAAGAAUUCGCUUAACGGCCACAAGGUGACAUUCAUUGGGGUCGGAUUCAAAUCUAGCACACAUGCAUACACUAAGCAUAAUGUCCGGUCUACUAGAACAUAAGUAAAGUAAGGAACCUAUCAUAGACCGGUAUGCCUUUUGAUCAACGGACUUACCUCCUUUGUUGAGGUCGACGUGUCUGUCGGUUCCCAUAGGUGUCUUCAUGGGCUUGGCGUCCUUCAUCCCAAACCUCUUGAGAAGAUCUUGUCUGUACUUCGUUUGGGAGAGGAAAGUGCCGUCCUUGAGUUGCUUCACUUGGAACCCAAGGAAGUAGGUCAACUCGCCCAUCAUAGACAUCUCAAACAUUUGAGUCAUCACCCUGCUAAACUCCUCACAAGACUUUUGGUUAGUAGAACCAAAUAUUAUGUCAUCGACAUGAAUUUGGCACACAAAAAGAUCACCGUCACAAGUCUUAGUGAAAAGAGUGGGAUCGGCUUUCCCAACCUUGAAAGAAUUAGCAAUUAAGAAAUCUCUAAGGCAUUCAUACCAUGCUCUUGGGGCUUGCUUAAGUCCAUAGAGCGCCUUAGAGAGCUCAAACACAUGGUCGGGAUACCUGUCAUCCUCAAAGCCAGGGGGUUGUUCCACGUACACUUCCUCCUUGAUUGGCCCAUUGAGGAAAGCGCUCUUCACAUCCAUUUGAAACAGCCUAAAAGAAUGGUGAGCGGCAUAGGCUAAUAAUAUUCUAAUAGAUCCUAGCCUGGCCACAGGAGCAAAAGUCUCCUCGAAAUCCGAACCUGCGACUUGGGCAUAACCUUUUGCCACAAAUCAAGCCUUGUUUCUUGUCACCACCCCGU